CCUACGGGUGGCAGCAGUCGAGAAUCAUUCACAAUGGGGGAAACCCUGAUGGUGCGACGCCGCGUGGGGGAAUGAAGGUCUUCGGAUUGUAAACCCCUGUCAUGUGGGAGCAAAUUAAAAAGAUAGUACCCCAAGAGGAAGAGACGGCUAACUCUGUGCCAGCAGCCGCGGUAAUACAGAGGUCUCAAGCGUUGUUCGGAAUCACUGGGCGUAAAGCGUGCGUAGGCUGUUUCGUAAGUCGUGUGUGAAAGGCGCGGGCUCAACCCGCGGACGGCACAUGAUACUGCGAGACUAGAGUAAUGGAGGGGGAACCGGAAUUCUCGGUGUAGCAGUGAAAUGCGUAGAUAUCGAGAGGAACACUCGUGGCGAAGGCGGGUUCCUGGACAGUAACUGACGCUGAGGCACGAAGGCCAGGGGAGCGAAAGGGAUUAGAUACCCGGGUAGUC
Molecule: ribosomal RNA, 446 nt
Filed under: uncultured bacterium
Lineage: Bacteria
Description: partial 16S ribosomal RNA
Rfam family: Bacterial small subunit ribosomal RNA
Source: RNAcentral